RNAcentral lists this ribosomal RNA (535 nucleotides) under uncultured bacterium. RNAcentral's name for it is "bacterial SSU rRNA". It matches the Rfam family "Bacterial small subunit ribosomal RNA", at positions 366 to 896 of the family's 1533-position model. The record is from RNAcentral.
GGACAAUGGGCGCWSKGAUCCAGCGAUGCCGCGUGUGUGAAGAAGGCCUGCGGGUUGUAAAGCACUUUCAGUAGGGAAGAAAAGCCGAGUGCUAAUAUCACUCGGUCUUGACGUUACUUACAGAAGAAGCACCGGCUAACUCCGUGCCAGCAGCCGCGGUAAUACGGAGGGUGCGAGCGUUAAUCGGAAUUACUGGGCGUAAAGGGCGCGUAGGCGGUCUGGUAAGUCGGGUGUGAAAGCCCUGGGCUCAACCUGGGAAUUGCAUUCGAUACUGCCUGGCUAGAGUAUGGUAGAGGGAAGCGGAAUUCCGGGUGUAGCGGUGAAAUGCGUAGAUAUCCGGAGGAACACCAGUGGCGAAGGCGGCUUCCUGGACCAAUACUGACGCUGAGGCGCGAAAGGUGGGGAUCAAACAGGAUUAGAUACCCUGGUAGUCCACGCCCUAAACGAUGAGAACUAGCCGUUGGAGGAGCUUUGUCCUUUAGUGGCGCASUAUACGCGAUAAGUUUUCCGCCUGGGGAGUACGGCCGCAAGGUUA